This is a non-coding RNA of Ciona intestinalis (vase tunicate), 208 nucleotides long. NCBI's taxonomy places the organism in Eukaryota, Metazoa, Chordata, Ascidiacea, Phlebobranchia, Cionidae. The record is from RefSeq and is a predicted model, not a curated record.
UACACCACUUGUUAAACCUGAAACGUAAAUAAACAACCCCUACUUGAAAUUUUAAACAGCGAACUUCUGAUUGCAGUUCUUUGCAGUUGCCACAUGUAAGGUUGUCCAAAGUUGUUUCAGUUUCUUCUUUUUUUUUAGGUAGUAGAGCACAAUACUUAGUCGUAUAAGUGUGGUCAUGAAAUGUACCGACUGUUUUGAAAUGAACACA